AUGUACAUUCCUACAACAUAGCGUUAAUGCACCAUAUCCCAUUAGAACUAUGCAAUUAAGAGCGCUCGGGCUAGAGAAAUACUAGGAUGGGUGACCACCCGCAAAGUCCUAGUAUUUUACAUG
Picea glauca (white spruce) is the source of this 123-nucleotide non-coding RNA. The record is from Rfam. Lineage: Eukaryota; Viridiplantae; Streptophyta; Pinopsida; Pinales; Pinaceae.